Gigantopelta aegis is the source of this 1130-nucleotide long non-coding RNA. RefSeq lists it as uncharacterized. The transcript has 4 exons. The record is from RefSeq and is a predicted model, not a curated record. NCBI's taxonomy places the organism in Eukaryota, Metazoa, Mollusca, Gastropoda, Neomphalida, Peltospiridae.
AGUACAGGACGUAUAAUACGAUUAAUGCUGGCCAGCGAUGAUGUGACUGCUUCAAUGUAAGAUAAUCUGCAAAAAUGGCUAUGCUGCAUUUACUCAUAUAUACUGUCAAAUACCCAAUACAGGUUAAGUGUGCAGAACAAAUUUAAAUUACACGAAUUUACGCUGUCUUAAUUAUCAGAGCGAUUUUUAUACAUCGUGUCAUAUUUAUUGGCAGAAUUGUAUGUGUCACAAUUUCAGAAUGUUCACAGGAUAAGUAUGGCUUACAAUGUGGAAAGUAUUGCAAUCUGCGACACUGUCUUGGAAGUUCAUCUUGUGAUCACGUUACUGGAAAAUGUGACCUUGGCUGUGAUCGAGGAUAUUCGUUUGACAAUUGUGCAAUGCCAUGUGAUAGAGGAUCCUAUUGCGCUGGUUAUAGCUUCAAUUGUUCACAAAGACGCUGCAAAGUGAGUACGACAAUGCUGAUGGUUCCUGUGAAGGUUUGUGCCUGGGAGGAUGGAUGGGAGUCGACUGUGCAGAUUGUGAUUCCAAUCAGUUCGGUGUGAACUGUGAAUCUGUGUGUGCACACCGACAUUGCAAGGGAGAACAACUCUGUCAUCAUGAAUUGGGAUACUGCAAUGGAGGGUGUUUGCCAGGGUGGACAGGACUUACAUGUGUUGAAGUGGCAAAUUGUGAAAGACGGUCGUGGGUGUAAAAAUCAGCCAGCACGAAAAAAGACUUUGAAGGCCAGAAUGGAGAUUUUUUUUGUCAUUUUCUGUGCGUUUUCAUUUGGACAAUGAAGAAGAUUUCAAAUUCUAACUGCAGGAGGAGAAAUGUUUUUGGAGAGAGUUACUCUACUGAUUCCAUCAAGCACGUGUAAGAACACGUGGUGUUGUAUAAUACAGGUUAUGACAGCUUGACGUGUACCACAAGGGGGAAAUUCGUCUACAGUCCUCAAUAUGGAUACCUAAAGACUUCAGCCAAGUGUUGAAUAAUUUAUAAAACAAUGCGUUGCAACCGAACAUCGCAAGUGUGAACGUGACGGAAAGUGUUAGUAACGGUCGCGCAGUCGUGCGCUUCUCCAAAUGUGAACACGUGCUCAUCAAAUAUAAGAGAAACAAAGGACACACCUUCCGGAUUCCAGUGUAAGUUAU